GAGACACCCUUAUGGAGCAGGACUUGCUUUAGUGGGGCUUUGGUGCUCACUGAGUCUGCCCUUAUAGUGUGUCGUU
Molecule: non-coding RNA, 76 nt
Organism: Myotis brandtii (Brandt's bat)
Lineage: Eukaryota; Metazoa; Chordata; Mammalia; Chiroptera; Vespertilionidae
Source: Rfam